UUGGGAAUCUUGCACAAUGGGGGAAACCCUGAUGCAGCGACGCCGCGUGGAGGAUGAAGGGUCUAGGCCUGUAAACUCCUUUUAUCGGGAAAGACUUAGGACGGUACCCGAUGAAUAAGGACCGGCUAACUACGUGCCAGCAGCCGCGGUAAGACGUAGGGUCCAAGCGUUAUCCGGAUUUACUGGGCGUAAAGCGCGCGUAGGCGGUCUGUUAAGUGCACAAGUGAAAGCUCCGGGCUCAACUCGGAAAUUGCUUUGCAUACUGGCAGGCUGGAGGGACGCAGAGGUCUGUGGAAUUCCUGGUGUAACGGUGAAAUGUGUUGAUAUCAGGAGGAACACCCAUGGCGAAGGCAGCAGACUGGGCGUUUCCUGACGCUGAGGCGCGAAAGCGUGGGUAGCAAACAGG
This 406-nucleotide ribosomal RNA is filed under the name uncultured bacterium. RNAcentral describes it as "bacterial SSU rRNA". It matches the Rfam family "Bacterial small subunit ribosomal RNA", at positions 355 to 776 of the family's 1533-position model. The record is from RNAcentral.